RNAcentral lists this transfer RNA (76 nucleotides) under Gammaproteobacteria bacterium. RNAcentral describes it as "tRNA-Thr". It matches the Rfam family "tRNA". Rfam says of the family: Transfer RNA (tRNA) molecules are approximately 80 nucleotides in length. Their secondary structure includes four short double-helical elements and three loops (D, anti-codon, and T loops). Further hydrogen bonds mediate the characteristic L-shaped molecular structure. tRNAs have two regions of fundamental functional importance: the anti-codon, which is responsible for specific mRNA codon recognition, and the 3' end, to which the tRNAs corresponding amino acid is attached (by aminoacyl-tRNA synthetases). tRNAs cope with the degeneracy of the genetic code in two manners: having more than one tRNA (with a specific anti-codon) for a particular amino acid; and 'wobble' base-pairing, i.e. permitting non-standard base-pairing at the 3rd anti-codon position. Lineage: Bacteria; Pseudomonadati; Pseudomonadota; Gammaproteobacteria. The record is from RNAcentral. RNAcentral also lists the same sequence under 3 other names.
GCCAAUGUAGCUCAGUCGGUAGAGCAACUGAUUCGUAAUCAGUAGGUCGGCAGUUCGAUUCUGCCCAUUGGCUCCA